UAGCUCAGUCGGUAGAGCGCGUGCCUUUUAAGCCCGUGGUCGUGGGUUCGAGCCCCGC
RNAcentral lists this transfer RNA (58 nucleotides) under Perkinsus olseni. Its description in RNAcentral is "tRNA-Lys". It matches the Rfam family "tRNA", at positions 8 to 63 of the family's 71-position model. Rfam says of the family: Transfer RNA (tRNA) molecules are approximately 80 nucleotides in length. Their secondary structure includes four short double-helical elements and three loops (D, anti-codon, and T loops). The record is from RNAcentral. Lineage: Eukaryota; Perkinsozoa; Perkinsida; Perkinsidae.